UUUUUUUUUUUUUUUCGAACUUUUUCAAGCUUUAAAAUGAGGGACCAUUUUGUCAUACUUUUAUGUUACGAAUUCCUGUCAGACUUUCUAUGUUUAACUACCUAUUAUUUUUCAAUUAUAAAACCUUGGUUGCCGAGUUUCCUUAAUUCUAAUUUAAAUCGUUACUCUCAGGUACUUCUUCCGGAUGAUGUUACAAAGCUAUGGGCGGAGGUUCGACGACUUUUGCGGUGACCUGUAGACACCGCGCGAAGACGAGGUAAAAAAGAGAGGAAUGCAAUUACGCCGGCCACAUACUGCCGUGUGCUUGGCGUUAUGUGUCGCGGCUCGGCGCAGGGAGGCCGCAAAAGCCGACGACGACGACGACAUAUUCAUGCGUGCGUUAUUAUGCGAGGGAGCCGUGAGUGCACUCGAGAGAUACGCGCACGCGUUCCACGACGUCCAAUUAACCGCACGCAUUUCGACACCAAAGGAAUUUCACGCGGAACGCGCGCGUGCCCUCGCCUAUUCUUCCAAUUCGAUUCUUAUCGGUCAUCGAUCAAAUUGAUCUCAAUGAUCUCAAAAGGUAUAAGAAGCUGUGUCUUGUUAAAAUAAUUAUUGAAUAUUUAUGUCUCAUUAUGUCUGCGAGGUUUCCAUAGUUUACAUUAGCGAAGAAUCAGUCACUUUGUAUUAGGAAUGUCAAUGUGCCAUUUACACAGUAAUUUUUAUGAAACUUUGAAUUUCAAAUUGAUGUACCAUAAGUGGUAUUUGCAAUACUUUUAUGUCAUGAAAUCAUCAUCAUCUCGAAGAGUAGUGUAUUAUGCUAAACUAGUCUUUCUUAUCAGAAUAAUUCAUAGUCCGACACUUUUCCACGAUCUUGCCUCGGUAUUUCCCUUCUUCACGACCAGGUUACCACUCUCCAGCCCUCCCCAUUUCUAACGCAUCAUCCCUGUAGCCGUCGUGUCGCUUUGGCACACAGGACACACAGAUGCGUCCCUCCAUUUUGCGCUCGCAUUGUUACUCCAAGUGCAGUCUCCCCAUUGUUACAAUGGCUGGCCACUCCUGGCAUUGUUACCGGUAUUGUUAUUAUUAUCGCUACUGUUACCGGUUGCGGCCGAACGGCGAAUGGAGAAGAGGAGAGCCAGCUGCUUCGUCGAGUGCCGCAUUAGAGGCAAAUUACACUCCCUCUGGUCCGCCCUCUCUCCUUCUCUAACCCCCCCUCUAUCUAUCACACUAUAUCAAUCUAUCCAUCUCUCUUGUUUAUAUACAUUUCCACCCCUUUUGCAGUCUCAAAAUUUUCAAACGUUCGAUCGGUAUCGGUUCGGCAAGCCUGGUAACCGCCGAUUGGUACCCACCCCCCUUUGGAACCAUUUUUUCGGGGGGCUUUCGUUGACGGACGUCGUUGUAGAAGGGGUUGAUGGGCGACGGGGAUGCUUUUAAAGAAUUUUAUGUAAUACUCUAUUGUUUAAAAGUAUUCUGAUACUCUGUAUUAAUUUGCAGAUGAGCAAUGGGACAAAGAAGUGUUGAAUUACGAAAGGAAACACGUCGGGGCCGACAGGACGCGUAAUUAAUCGGUCGCCACGGAUUAAACGAGCAAUUUGGAGCACGAAAUUGAUCGCAACAAUUUAAUCGCGAGAGGCAGCAACUACGGGUCUCCGUAAAUUAUGCCCGUUGAGUUACAACGAGUUUAAAGCUCGUUAAAAACGCGAAAGAUCGGCCGGUGCGAGCGAGAAGGAGGAAAGGAGAGAGAAGAAGUUAAUUAGAAGGAGUAGACAGAGAAAUAAAAAAGAAGAAAGAGAGAAAAUUUGUGACGGUAAAGAAGAAAGAGAGAGAGGGAAAAAUAUCAAGGGGAAUUUAGACGGCCCUGCCACGACUGGCGAAAAAAGAAAUAAAUAAAAAGGGAGACAUUAAUUAAAGUGCAAAACCACCUGGGAGACUUUGAUAAACCGAGCUACAAAGAAGUAACGAGGUCGCGUGUCAAAAAAUCAGAUAGAGAUCCACGGGCUCCUGUCGAUCAUUUCCUUGAAGAACCACCGAGACUUCUCGCGUGUUUGCACGACAUUGAACUCGCACGGUCCUCUUCAGUGCUCCCUCUUCGGGGUUGUUGCCGCUGUACGAGGUCGAAGAGGGUAGAUUCGGUGGUGAACUAUAAAAAGGAAGAUACUUGAAGAAAGCUUGCUUCGCAAAUAUUGCUUUAUCUUUAGCUCGCAUAAACCUUCCAGCCAUGUAUUUGCAAGGGAAUAUUAGGUGGUUCUAUAUGCAUACUCAAAGGGUGGAUAACUGAGCGUCGGAUGUCUAUAUUGCUCAUGGAUUAACAAGGAAUUAAUAAACAAGUGAACUCCAAUCAUAACUGCAAGAUCAAUAAAUGGAAGAGAAGAAGAAUCUGGAAAAAAAACCAUCGAGCAAUUGAUGGAGCCAUUUUCAAGCAUGAAAGCAAAAUGGCGAGCUCGCGAGUGAAGAAGAGCUAUAGUCAAGCGAUUGGUAGAUGGAGAAGAUGCGUCGACGAGCGAAUUGAACGGAGAGACGCACGGUAGACGAAACGGCAGACUGAACGAGGGGACGAGCGACCAGGAUGCAACCAAUGAGCUGCGCAACAAUUAUUUAUUGUUGCCAGACUGCCGCAUCGAGCCGAGCAGACUUGUCUGCCCAAUGAAGAUUGCUCGUUAAAAUCUGAUUCUGACCGGGUCGAUUGCUCUAAAUGGCCACCGCCAAAACGACCCGCUCGAAUCGGCCAAAUGAACGUACGUGCAAGGGAAACAAUAGCGGCAUCGAUGUACUUCAUCCUCCAUGAAAAAAUUGGAAUUUCAAUUAAGUAGGUAGCUAACAGUAGCCGAUGAAGAUGUGUUCGUAGCUUCUCAUUACGUGUACCGUGAAUUUCAUCCCACGGUCUCGAAGCUAAUUUGCUUUCAAAAGACGCGUUUAAAUCUCGUAUCGUUAAUCGUCUCCGAUCGAAGGCCAAGAGAGAAAAAUUUCGGCUUCCUAAGACAAUAUUGACACGUAGUUCAGCUGGAACGACUCUCUGACUGCCUACCUGGUCGAAUUCUAUCUCUCGUGCCUCGAACAAAUACACCUCUUCGAGGACUCUAUUUCUGACGCACCACCAUCAUUUGCUUAACACUUUCGGUAGUAAAGGUGAACGUGUCAGAUUGUACAAUUUUAACGCGUUGACCAUGGUUCCAUUCGAAAACAAGUGACACCUACUUCUGCUGCGGUCUACUUUUCUCUGUUCGUUGCAAGGACCAAUAGCGAUCAAAGGUAGAGACGAGAGUGGGCUUAGACCUCCCAACUCCCUUCUUCUUCUUCUUCUUCUUAAGGAAUAAUCGAACGGCUGAUUCGACAGAAAUCACCCUGACGUUUGAUGCUAACAAGUGCGGAGGCAACCAACGCCCCUGAGGUCGAUCGAUCCGAUUGGCCGAGAGACGUAGAUACACCCACGCGUACACCCACUACCUGCUCCCUGCAAUUAAUCUCCUCUCAGCAAUUAAUCCUCGUCGUGUUCGUGUGUACGGUAGAGAGCAGCGUGUGCGUAUCUCGAGUAUCGUGUUCUGUAGCAGGAGCAGGCAGGUGGACCGAUCCGGCUGAUCGAAGGGAAAUCGAGAUGGAUCGAGUUGCUGCUACAUUAUGUAGACUAAUGGAAUUUGUUGGAAGAUGAAGUUAAAAUAUAGUUGUUGAGGACAUAGUUAUCCCAGAAGCAAUGGAAAUAAAUGAAGCCCUAGAUAACGCAUAGGACAUCCUAACUUUGCACUUGGACAGUAGAUCAAGGUUCUCUGUAGGAUUAUUACGCGAUGAUCCAUGAGUUUAUCGAACGCUGGAUCGAUCAGGCUAACAAGAAAAACAUUUAACACGUACCUGAGUGGGCGUAAGGUUAAUUAGGGCGGCUAGGUGUUCUCGUUCGGG
Molecule: non-coding RNA, 3873 nt
Organism: Osmia lignaria (orchard mason bee)
Lineage: Eukaryota; Metazoa; Arthropoda; Insecta; Hymenoptera; Megachilidae
Source: RefSeq, a predicted model, not a curated record